This 423-nucleotide ribosomal RNA is filed under the name uncultured bacterium. RNAcentral describes it as "bacterial SSU rRNA". It matches the Rfam family "Bacterial small subunit ribosomal RNA", at positions 355 to 775 of the family's 1533-position model. The record is from RNAcentral.
UGAGGAAUAUUGGUCAAUGGGCGCAAGCCUGAACCAGCCAUGCCGCGUGAAGGAUGAAGGUUCUAUGGAUUGUAAACUUCUUUUAUUGGGGAAUAAACCUAUCUACGUGUAGAUAGCUGAAGGUACCCAAUGAAUAAGCACCGGCUAACUCCGUGCCAGCAGCCGCGGUAAUACGGAGGGUGCAAGCGUUAUCCGGAAUCAUUGGGUUUAAAGGGUCCGCAGGCGGAUGUAUAAGUCAGUGGUGAAAGCCUACAGCUCAACUGUAGAACUGCCAUUGAUACUGUACGUCUUGAAUUCGGUCGAAGUGGGCGGAAUAUGACAUGUAGCGGUGAAAUGCUUAGAUAUGUCAUAGAACACCGAUAGCGAAGGCAGCUCACUAGGCCUGGAUUGACGCUCAUGGACGAAAGCGUGGGGAGCAAACAG